AACGAACGCUGGCGGCAUGCCUAACACAUGCAAGUCGAACGAGAUCUUCGGGUCUAGUGGCGCACGGGUGCGUAACGCGUGGGAAUCUGCCCUUUGGUUCGGAAUAACAGUUGGAAACGACUGCUAAUACCGGAUGAUGACGAAAGUCCAAAGAUUUAUCGCCAGAGGAUGAACCCGCGUAGGAUUAGCUAGUUGGUGUGGUAAAGGCGCACCAAGGCGACGAUCCUUAGCUGGUCUGAGAGGAUGAUCAGCCACACUGGGACUGAGACACGGCCCAGACUCCUACGGGAGGCAGCAGUGGGGAAUAUUGGACAAUGGGCGAAAGCCUGACCAGCAAUGCCGCGUGAGUGAUGAAGGCCUUAGGGUUGUAAAGCUCUUUUACCCGGGAUGAUAAUGACAGUACCGGGAGAAUAAGCUCCGGCUAACUCCGUGCCAGCAGCAGCCGCAG
RNAcentral lists this ribosomal RNA (448 nucleotides) under uncultured bacterium. RNAcentral describes it as "partial 16S ribosomal RNA". It matches the Rfam family "Bacterial small subunit ribosomal RNA", at positions 29 to 523 of the family's 1533-position model. The record is from RNAcentral.